CCCCCCCCCCCAUCUAAUGCAGUGACAACACCCAAUCCUUUUGUUUACAUUGUACAUAGCAUAGUCAAUCAACUACAAUUUCUUAUUUAUCAUUUUUUUAAAUCAAUUUUGUGUUGCUUUAUUUCUACGGGGUUCCAUGUUGUUAGUACAGGUGUAUAAAUCAAUCAAAAUGUUUAAUUAGUGGUCCAUGCCAGGUGUGUGAUUGGUGUUGUAGUGGCUAAUGUGUGGUCAACUCAGUCCCAUAACUCACAAGAUUGAUUUCAGGCCAUUCUUGUGGGGUCAGUAUUUAAAAAUUCUCACUCAGGACAUAAGGGGACAUUAAUACAUGAAUCUGUGUGUAGGGUGGGUUGGGAAUGUGUACCAUUAAAUCUGUGUGUAGGGUGGGUUGCGAAUGUGUACCAUUGAAUCUGUAUGUAUGGUGGGUUGGGAAUGUGUACCAUUGUGAGGCAGACAUUUCUUGUUGCUGUACUGAGGGAGUGUGUCAUUAUCCUGUUAAAGCUAGACUUAAACAAUUGUAGCUUUGUUAGACUGAUGCAUUGACGUCAUGGCAAUCUAGCAUUUUUUGUGUUACAAAAUAGUUUAAGAAUUCAUUACCAAUGAUCAAGUUUUCAUUCUAAAAAAUGUGUAAUUUUAAUGUCUGCUAUUCAUUAUAACAUUUUACAAUAGUUGUACACAGCAUUGGGUGAGGCUGUUUGAAGUGGGUCUUUUUUUUUUAAUGAUAUUGUGCUUUGAUUAACCAUGAUUGGAACUUGAGUCAUGUGACUUUGUUGUUCUACCACCUGCUGUAGUGGCAAGUGUUUCAGAGAGCUGGGUGGUUUACCCGAUGACUCACCUUGUAGUUUACCUGUCUUCACAAUCCACUGGUGUGAUGUUACCUUGUACUAUAUGCUUUAUUGGGAAAACCCAAUUUUUUAAUGGGGAAAACCCAGUUUUUUAAUGGGGAAACCCUGCAAUAAUUUGAGAAUUCCCUUGCAUUUAUUUAGUCAGCUUAGACUAUCACUCAGCUAAAGUUGUUGUUGACAUAGAAUAAGAUGUAAAACACACUGAUAGAUGUAGCAAUUUCACUAGAUUAAACCAAUGAAAUGUUCUUCACAAUUAACUAGAACAAUAUUAGUCUGUUCAUGAUUGUAUACCAAAGGCUCUAUUAAAAUAAGUUUACAAGUGUGACAGAGUCUGAAUGUUAAAUAUGCUAUUUUUUUUUGUAUAUCCCAGAUAAUUUAUUUGUUAAUACAUUUUUUGUGAUAAAUUUGUGAGCUUGAACUGAUUUGGUCCAGCUGGCUUGGUUUUUAUCUAUUUGAAUAAAAUUGUUUUAGGACAGCUUUUGUCUGUUGAGGUCCAUUUUUUAAAAGUCUAAAUAGAAGUUUUGUAAGAAACAUUUUUUGUGUGUACUUGGUAGAAUUUGACCAGUUUCCAAAGAGAAAAUGUUGGGCCUAAAGCUAUAUGGCUUGGUCAGUAGAUGGUGUGUUGGUGUCAAUAGGUCAUGUGUUGGUGUCAACAGAUGGUGUGUUGGUGUCAACAGAUGAGUGUUGGUGUCAACAGUUUGUGUAUGUCAGCUGCACAUAUUGAUGUAGACAUUGCCUGUACAUAUUCAGUGGUGUGAUGUCAGGGUGGAACUAUACUAGCAUUUAUCCUUAGGCUUGUCUGAUUCCAAAUUUAUCUGGCUUGUGCUUUCCUAGUAAGGUACACGAUGUUAGCCAGUCAUAAUAUGUUUUAUUUAUUCUUUAGUAUUUCCGGAUGAUGAAAACAUAAGCCAAUGUAAUAACUUCUCUUCUGUGAAGUCUUGAAUAAACUGGCUAAGAUGUCAA
Molecule: long non-coding RNA, 1805 nt
Organism: Physella acuta
Lineage: Eukaryota; Metazoa; Mollusca; Gastropoda; Physidae
Source: RefSeq, a predicted model, not a curated record